This is a long non-coding RNA of Haliotis rubra (blacklip abalone), 362 nucleotides long. RefSeq lists it as uncharacterized. NCBI's taxonomy places the organism in Eukaryota, Metazoa, Mollusca, Gastropoda, Lepetellida, Haliotidae. The transcript is spliced from 3 exons. The record is from RefSeq and is a predicted model, not a curated record.
UGUAAGAUGCAUUGUUCUCUGUGCUGUAGAGAUAUGUAAGAUGCACUGGUCUCUGUGUUGUAGAGGUAUGUAAGAUGCACUGGUCUCUGUGUUGUAGAGGUAUGUAAGAUGCACUGGUCUCUGUGCUGUAGAGGUAUGUAAGAUGCACUGGUCUCUGUGCUGUAGAGGUAUGUAAGAUGCUCUGGUCUCUGUGCUGUAGAGGUAUGUAAGAUGCACUGGUCUCUGUGCUGUAGAGGUAUGUAAGAUGCACUGGUCUCUGUGCUGUAGAGGUAUGUAAGAUGCUCUGGUCUCUGUGUUGUAGAAGUAUGUAAGAUGCACUGGUCUCUGUGCUGUAGAGGUAUGUAAGAUGCACUGGUCUCUGU